Molecule: ribosomal RNA, 867 nt
Filed under: uncultured bacterium
Lineage: Bacteria
Description: bacterial SSU rRNA
Rfam family: Bacterial small subunit ribosomal RNA
Source: RNAcentral
CCCUUAGAGUUUGAUCCUGGCUCAGAACGAACGCUGGCGGCGCGCCUAAUACAUGCAAGUCGAGCGAGAAGACGUAGCAAUACGUUUGUAAAGCGGCGAACGGGUGAGGAAUACAUGGGUAACCUACCCUCGAGUGGGGAAUAACUAGCCGAAAGGUUAGCUAAUACCGCAUACGACUCUUGGUCUGCGGAUCGAGAGGGAAAGCGAUACCGUGGGUAUCGCGCUCUUGGAUGGGCUCAUGUCCUAUCAGCUUGUUGGUGAGGUAAUGGCUCACCAAGGCUUCGACGGGUAGCUGGUCUGAGAGGACGAUCAGCCACACUGGCACUGCGACACGGGCCAGACUCCUACGGGAGGCAGCAGUAAGGAAUAUUGCGCAAUGGGCGACAGCCUGACGCAGCGACGCCGCGUGGGGGAUGAAGGUCUUCGGAUUGUAAACCCCUUUCGGCAGGGAAGAUGGAACGGGAAACCGUUCGGACGGUACCUGCAGAAGCAGCCACGGCUAACUUCGUGCCAGCAGCCGCGGUAAUACGAAGGUGGCAAGCGUUGUUCGGAUUUACUGGGCGUACAGGGAGCGUAGGCGGUUGGGUAAGCCCUCCGUGAAAUCUCCGGGCCUAACCCGGAAAGUGCGGGGGGGACUGCUCGGCUAGAGGAUGGGAGAGGAGCGCGGAAUUCCCGGUGUAGCGGUGAAAUGCGUAGAGAUCGGGAGGAAGGCCGGUGGCGAAGGCGGCGCUCUGGAACAUUUCUGACGCUGAGCUCGAAAGCGUGGGGAGCAAACAGAUUAGAUACCCUGGUAGUCACGCCUUAAACGAUGGAUACAAGUGUCGCGGGUUACCGCCGGUGCCGCAGCUAACGCAGUAAGUAUCCCGC